This 253-nucleotide ribosomal RNA is filed under the name uncultured bacterium. RNAcentral describes it as "partial 16S ribosomal RNA". It matches the Rfam family "Bacterial small subunit ribosomal RNA", at positions 524 to 776 of the family's 1533-position model. The record is from RNAcentral.
UACGUAGGGUGCAAGCGUUGUCCGGAAUUAUUGGGCGUAAAGAGCUCGUAGGCGGUUUGUCGCGUCUGCUGUGAAAACCCGAGGCUCAACCUCGGGCCUGCAGUGGGUACGGGCAGACUAGAGUGCGGUAGGGGAGAUUCGAAUUCCUGGUGUAGCGGUGGAAUGCGCAGAUAUCAGGAGGAACACCAAUGGCGAAGGCAGAUCUCUGGGCCGUAACUGACGCUGAGGAGCGAAAGCAUGGGGAGCGAACAGG